AUGAGGUAGUAGGUUGUAUAGU
Molecule: unclassified non-coding RNA, 22 nt
Filed under: Drosophila melanogaster (fruit fly)
Lineage: Eukaryota; Metazoa; Arthropoda; Insecta; Diptera; Drosophilidae
Also listed under: 1 other name
Description: RNA (5'-R(*AP*UP*GP*AP*GP*GP*UP*AP*GP*UP*AP*GP*GP*UP*UP*GP*UP*AP*UP*AP*G)-3') from Drosophila melanogaster (PDB 7V6C, chain C)
Source: RNAcentral